GCAACUUGUUCUUUUCCCUUAUUUCACAGGAACUGGCUCGUGCAACAGAUAACGGAAGGCGGAUUGUCCAGGAUUGUUCAGCAGGGAAACGUGAUCCUCACGAAACACGUAACUCCAAGGGAGAGCAGGGUGUGUUCAGAGAGGCACCAUCAGGCUGUGCAUGUGAAGGUAAAACCCAGAGGGGAAUAGAGCAUUGCUCAUAAUGCUCCUCAGCAGCAUCUGGGAUGUGCCAGGCAUCUGUGAGACACGGAUCCAUGCAAAAAGCAGCCCGUAACGGCUGGAAAUCCUACCUCCAUUGGACGCAGCUGCAAAUCCCAAUUUCCGUUCUUUAUAGAACUACAAUGAAGCUCUACUAUGCCAGUUCCUCUGCCUCCUAAAUGCAUGCAUUCGCUUUUCAGACCCUUCAUUUCUGCCCCCUGUUAUUCCUCUCUCCUGGCCCCAUAACUAUUCUAAAGCAUGGAAGAGCAAUUAAUCAUGACUGGAAUACAGUACAGACAUGCUUCCGUGCUUGCAAGGAACCAAAGAAGCGACCUUGGAUCAAAGGAGAAAAUUCUUGUAUCUCGCUUGGCAGUGCCCCAACUGCUUGGCGGCAGCUUGUCAGGGUUUGAGACAAGUGUCUUCUCCAGGCCAAGCACAGACUAAGGCUGAGAUGUUCUGCAUGAGCUUGCAGAACGUGUUUCCCCAGGUACGGAAGACGAACGGCCUUUUCUAUAUUCACAGCGCAAAACCUCGCAAGAGAAGGAUGAAAGGUGGCUGCUUGUUAAUGUCAGCCAGCUGUCAGCAAGAGGCGAAGGAUCGCUUGUUCCAAACUUGAAGACCAGGCCAGCCAGAGAAAGGCCAAUGGACGAAAACCAGGGUCACCCCUGCCCCUCCAAGUUGCAGCCAGGCAAAGUGGGAGGAAGGACCUCCAAGAGCCAUCCCUGGCCAACUCCACCUAAAAGAGAGAGGUAUUCAUGCCACUCACAACAACCCCCUAACAUACAAGGAGGCGCAUGGAAGUAUCAAUCUACGACACGUUCCUUAUUGAACCCAGAUGUUAGAAGUUCAGCUCAAACACAGUUACUCGCACUCACUAGUAAGGCCAGGGGUGCAGAACCAAGGUCCAGAGGCCGAACUAGCAGAGGCCAAACUAGAUGUAAAGACUGCUUUGAUUAAUUUCUGGCUGCUUCUGACUGGGGCUUACACACAACCUAUGCAGAGAAGGAAGUAAAUACUGUCCCACCAAGCUUUACACUUCAGCUAAAUAGAUUUUGGUGGGUGACAGAGGGAGAAACACGGCUAGCUCAUCUUGUGUCUGGGCAGCCCCAGUCUCCUGGACUCCCUCCCACCAAAAGGCCCCCCUUCCAAGGUCAAUUUCCAACAUCAGAGAAGCAGCCAGCUCCAUUCUUUCCACCUUGGCUCCAGUGUGGGGAUUCCCAGCUCCUAGGCUGGUGUUCUCACGCUCUCUCCAACCUUGGAUCUGGGAAUAUAUGGUCCCCAGACUAUGCCUAAGGGCAAACGACCAGGCUUUUAAUGGCUUAAUCCUAUAGAAACGGGAAAUUAAUGCAGAACCAAGCAAGGAAUAUAUAAAUGGAGCUGUCUGCAUUGCGUUUCAGACAAAUGGGAGGGGUGAUUAAAAAAAAAAAAGAUUUAAGAAGAAAACAAAGAGUAUGUACACCGGGUACCUUUACAAAUGGAUCAAGCCACAUCGUUAACAAGAUGAAGGCACCUUGAGCCAAUUUCUCCUGCCUGAAAGGAUUGAUAGCUCCCCUCUGGCAGAAUGCCACACAUUUCCUUCCCUGGCUGAUCAGGCUGCUGAAUGCAAUUAAGCCCUGGAAAAAUGCUAUUCAUACCACAUGUCUGCCUGAAGAACUGUGUGAUUGGUUUUAUGCAAGGUGGAGGUCCAUCUCUCCCAGCUGGGCUCAUUCAACAGCAUGUGAUUUACAUUAAAACAAAUUUAUGGCA
Long non-coding RNA from Varanus komodoensis (Komodo dragon), 1944 nucleotides. RefSeq lists it as uncharacterized. The record is from RefSeq and is a predicted model, not a curated record. The transcript has 2 exons. NCBI's taxonomy places the organism in Eukaryota, Metazoa, Chordata, Lepidosauria, Squamata, Varanidae.